Molecule: long non-coding RNA, 4863 nt
Filed under: Malus domestica (apple)
Lineage: Eukaryota; Viridiplantae; Streptophyta; Magnoliopsida; Rosales; Rosaceae
Description: long non-coding RNA (MDOM_LNC014633)
Source: RNAcentral
ACAACAACAACAACAACAAAGCAUUUUCCCACUAAGUGGGGUCGCCUAUAUGAAUCCUAGAACGCCAUUGUGCUUGGUUUUGUGUCAUGUCCUCCGUUAGAUCCAAGUACUCUAAGUCUUUUCUUAGGGUCUCUUCCAAAGUUUUCCUAGGUCUUCCUCUACCCCUUCGGCCCUGAACCUCUGUCCCGUAGUCAUAUCUUCGAACCGGAGCGUCAGUAGGCCUUCUUUGCACAUGUCCAAACCACUGUAACUGAUUUUCUCUCAUCUUUCCUUCAAUUUCGGCUACUCCUACUUUACCUCGGAUAUCCUCAUUUCUAAUCUUAUCAUUUCUCGUGUGCCCACACAUCCAACGAAGCAUCCUCAUCUCCGCUACACCCAUUUUGUGUACGUGUUGAUGCUUCACCGCCCAACAUUCUGUGCCAUACAGCAUCGCCGGCCUUAUUGCCGUCCUAUAAAAUUUUCCCUUGAGCUUUAGUGGCCUACGACGGUCACACAACACACCGGAUGCACUCUUCCACUUCAUCCAUCCAGCUUAUAUUCUAUGGUUGAGAUCUCCAUCUAAUUCUCCGUUCUUUUGCAAGAUAAAACCUAGGUAGCGAAAACGGUCGCUCUUUGGUAUUUCCUAAUCUCCGAUCCUCACCCCUAACUCAUUUUGGCCUCCAUUUGCACUGAACUUGCACUCCAUAUAUUCUGUCUUUGAUCGGCUUAGGCGAAGACCUUUAGAUUCCAACACUUCUCUCCAAAGGUUAAGCUUCGCAUUUACCCCUUCCUGAGUUUCAUCUAUCAACACUAUAUCGUUUGCGAAAAGCAUACACCAAGGAAUAUCAUCUUGAAUAUGUCCUGUUAACUCAUCCAUUACCAACGUAAAAAGGUAAGGACUUAAGGAUUGUUGAUGCACAAAAUCAGUGAGGACUUUGGUACAACAGAAAGUAUUAAGUUUGUGAUCUUCGCUAGAUUGCUCUGGUCAUUAGUGUGGAUAAGUAUAUAAAUGGAUUGAGACAUGAAAGCAAACACAAGAUGUACAUGGUUCACCCAGAUUGGCUACGUCCACAGAGUAGAGGAGUUCUCAUUAAUUGUGAAGGGUUUACACAAGUACAUAGGUUCAAGCUCUCCUUUAGUGAGUACAAGUGAAUGAUUUAGUACAAAUGACAUUAGGAAAUAUUAUGGGAGAAUGAUCUCGUAAUCACGAAACUUCUAAGUACCGAAGUGUGGUAUCGUCUUCACUUGCCUUAUCUGUCUCAUAGGUAGAUGUGGCAUCUUCUCUGGAAGUACUCUUCCUCCAUCCAGGGAUGAUAUCUUUAAUUGGUGGAGAUGCACAAAGUAAUGUAUCAAUUUCAUUUGAAGCUUACUUAUAGUUUCAGGCUUGGUCAAGCACGAUACAAACCAUGUAGUAGGAGUCCCCCAAGUCACCGAGCUAGGGGAUCUGCUGAAAGAGGUGACAGACAAGGUAAGCAAUCAGAGCUCCAAGCAAUCAGUCCCAGAUCAAAAGUUUGAUUUCGAGUUUCGGCUGAUUGUUCUCAUUCUCCCUAUCUUGCAGGCAGCAUGAAGGAUAAAGAGAAGAAAAAAUAGAAGAGAUGAUAUGAGAUACUUUUGCUUUUGAAGAAGUAACUUUCCACAGGCUUAUUCUUGAACUGGGCUGGAGGGUUUUCUGGUUUCCUCCAGAGUAUAAGGCCGACUGAAGAAUUUGAGGGUCAAAACAAGUCCAUCAAAUCUAGAGUACGUUCGACCCUGCUGAUAUGGGAUACUUUUGCUGUUGACAAAGUAGUGGAUGUAUCGGCACGUGUUCUGUUACGCUUGUCUCCACAUACUUCCUUGUAUUCUUCUCACUUGCCUUAUCUGUUCCUCAGACAGAUGUGGUAUCUUCUCUGGAAACAUAAGAUGUUGAAGAUGAGUGCUCGAGAGCAAUGCCAGGUAAGUAAUCAGGUAAGGGGUCCAGGCAGUCAGUUCCUGACUGGAAGCUUGAUUCCAAGUGCUGACUGAUUUCUCUCUUUCUCCUUGUCUUGCAGGUAAGAAUAAGGCCAAAGGAAAAGACAGGGAAAAAGCAUGAUAUGGGAUACUCUUGCUUUUAACCCUGAUAAUAUGAGAUAUUCUUGCUCUGGUGUAGCUUGUUUGCAGAGGUAUUAUCGGGGGGAAAGAAAGCUAAGUAUUUCGAGAGGCUUCGUUAGGAGUGCCCUCUCAGAUAUGAGGAAAGGUUGAGCAUUUUUGCAGGUCUGCCUGUCCGUUGAGGAUGGAGGUCGACAUAUAUAGGAGUCUCCCUAACAACAAGUAGUAAUGUUAUUCAUUUACCCUGCUUGGUCAUAGCACGGUAGUGGGAGCUGACAGCUUCACAUGUUUUAACUCUGUCAGAGCACUUUGAAAAAGUGGUCUGUGGUAUCUGGAAAACUGAUGUUGUGUGUGAAGAUUACAGACAAGCUUUAUCCAAGGAGAUCUGGCUCUCGAAGUUGAGAAGCGGUGCCUCUUCGAUUUUCGAACAAGCAAUUCUGUCGGGGAUUUGGCUCUCGAGAUUCAGAGAACGGUACCUUUUCGAUUUUUGAGAAAGCAAUCCUGCUAGGAGUCUGGCUCUCGAGAUUCGGAGAGCGGUGUCUCUUCGAUUUUUGAGAAAGUAAUCAUGUUGGGAGUCUGGCUCUCGAGAUUCGAAUGGUGGUGCCUCUUCGAUUUUGGAGCAAGCAAUCUUGUUGGGAGUGUUCUCGAAUGUGAGUAAAGGUUAGGCAUGUUUGCUAGUCUACCUUGCCAUGAAGCACAAAGGUUGACACACAGGGACUUUCCAAUUAUCCAGCAGUGGUAUUGUUCCUUUACCCUUGUGGGUAAUAAUAUGGUAGCUAAACCUUCAAAAUUUAUAUGUCUAAACUUUGUCAGUGCUGUUUCUUUGCUAUUCUUUUACCCUUCUUAGUCAUAGCGAUGUAGUGAGAGCUGCAAGCUUCACGUGUCUAAACUUUGUCAGAGAUCUUUGGCAAAGUUAUCUGUGGUACCCAUGAGCUGAUGUUGCGUGUGGAAAGUGGAUGAUUGAACAGUAAGAUUCACAUGCUUUCUAAUUCACCAGAAAUCUUCAGCAGAAUGCCCGUAAUUUCUGCAAAGCUGAGUGCAUGUGACAGGUGCUGACAAGGUUGAAAAAGCAGGUGCCUCUUCGAUUUCUGAGAUCGGCCCUCGUGGUCUCUGAGCAGGCCAGCUUUUGAGAAAGCAAACACCUCUUCGAUUUUUGAGAUCGACCUUCGUGGUCUUUGAGCAGCCAGCUUUUGAGAAAGCAAACACCUCUUCGAUUUCUGAGAUCGGCCCUCGUGGUCUCUGAGCAACCCAGCUUUUGAGAAAGCAAACGCCUCUUCGAUUUUUUAGCAGACGCCUCUUCGAUUUCUGAAGCUCCGUCGAGUGCAGAUUUUUAUAGAGGCUGGCAUUAAGUUCCAAAGCACACUUGAAUCUCCACCAGUAGAAGCUCCCUUCUUGCACUUCUAAGAUCUUGAUUUGUCCGACCUCUUCUCUCUUCAACACCUUUGAAAAUGUCUGGCCCCUCCGACCGUCGUUUUGACUUGAACCUUGUUGAAGAGGCAGCCACGCCUUCUCCAGACAACAUAUGGCGCCCAUCCUUUUUAUCCUCUACUGGUCCUCUUACCGUUGGGGAUUCCGUGAUGAAGAAUGAUAUGACCGCUGCGGUGGUGGCCAGGAACCUUCUCACUCCCAAAGAUAACAGACUACUUUCCAAACGGUCUGAUGAGUUGGCUGUUAAGGAUUCUCUGGCUCUCAGUGUUCAGUGUGCAGGUUCUGUGUCUAAUAUGGCCCAACGCCUAUUUGCUCGAAACCCGCCAAGUUGAAUCAUUGGCGGCUGAAGUGAUGAGUCUCAAACAGGAGAUUAGAGGGCUCAAGCAUGAGAAUAAACAGUUGCACCGGCUCGCACAUGACUAUGCUACAAACAUGAAGAGGAAGCUUGACCAGAUGAAGGAAUCUGAUGGUCAGGUUUUACUUGAUCAUCAGAGAUUUGUGGGUUUGUUCCAAAGGCAUUUAUUGCCUUCGUCUUCUGGGGCUGUACCGCGUAAUGAAGCUCCAAAUGAUCAACCUCUGAUGCCUCCUCCUUCUAGGGUUCUGUCCAGUACUGAGGCUCCAAAAUGAUCCCCUUUCCGGUGCCUUCUCUUUCUGGGGCUCUACCGACUGCUGAGACUUCUCCUAAGCAACCUUUGUGAAGGCUCCCUCUUGUUUGUUUAUUUUGACUCAUGUAUAUGUACAUAUUUGUAACUUAUCGGAGAUAUCAAUAAAUAAGCUUUCCUUCAUUUCAACGUAUUGUGUUAAAUACACCAAAGCCUUCUUCGCUAAGUUCUUUGAAUUUUUCUUUUGUUGAAGCUUGUAUGUUGAAGCUUUUGUGAGUGGAGCAUGUAGGUUGAGGUAGUGUUCCCUUAAUUUCCCGAGUGAGGAAAACUUCUCGGUUGGAGACUUGAAAAAAUCCAAGUCACUGAGUGGGAUCGGCUAUAUGAAUCUUAGAACGCCAUUGUGCUCGAUCCUGUGUCAUGUCCUCCGUUAGAUCCAAGUACUCUAAGUCUUUUCUUAGAGUCUCUUCCAAAGUUUUCCUAGGUCUUCCUCUACCCCUUCGGCCCUGAACCUCUGUCCCGUAGUCGCAUCUUCUAAUCGGAGCGUCAGUAGGCCUUCUUUGCACAUGUCCAAACCACCGUAACCGAUUUUCUCUCAUCUUUCCUUCAAUUUCGGCUACUCCUACUUUACCCCGGAUAUCCUCAUUCCUAAUCUUAUCCUUUCUCGUGUGCCCACACAUCCAACGAAGCAUCCUCAUCUCCGCUACACCCAUUUUGUGUACGUGUUGAUGCUUUCACCGCCCAACAUUCUGUGCCAUACAGCAUCGCCGGCCUUAUUGCCGUCCUAUAAAAU